GCUGGCGGCGUUCCUAAUACAUGCAAGUCGAGCGAACAGAUGAGAAGCUUGCUUCUCUGAUGUUAGCGGCGGACGGGUGAGUAACACGUGGGUAACCUACCUAUAAGACUGGGAUAACUCCGGGAAACCGGGGCUAAUACCGGAUAAUAUUUUGAACCGCAUGGUUCAAUAGUGAAAGACGGUUUCGGCUGUCACUUAUAGAUGGACCCGCGCCGUAUUAGCUAGUUGGUAAGGUAAUGGCUUACCAAGGCGACGAUACGUAGCCGACCUGAGAGGGUGAUCGGCCACACUGGAACUGAGACACGGUCCAGACUCCUACGGGAGGCAGCAGUAGGGAAUCUUCCGCAAUGGGCGAAAGCCUGACGGAGCAACGCCGCGUGAGUGAUGAAGGUCUUCGGAUCGUAAAACUCUGUUGUUAGGGAAGAACAAAUUUGUUAGUAACUGAACAAGUCUUGACGGUACCUAACCAGAAAGCCACGGCUAACUACGUGCCAGCAGCCGCGGUAAUACGUAGGUGGCAAGCGUUAUCCGGAAUUAUUGGGCGUAAAGCGCGCGUAGGCGGUUUCUUAAGUCUGAUGUGAAAGCCCACGGCUCAACCGUGGAGGGUCAUUGGAAACUGGGAAACUUGAGUGCAGAAGAGGAGAGUGGAAUUCCAUGUGUAGCGGUGAAAUGCGCAGAGAUAUGGAGGAACACCAGUGGCGAAGGCGGCUCUCUGGUCUGUAACUGACGCUGAUGUGCGAAAGCGUGGGGAUCAAACAGGAUUAGAUACCCUGGUAGUCCACGCCGUAAACGAUGAGUGCUAAGUGUUAGGGGGUUUCCGCCCCUUAGUGCUGCAGCUAACGCAUUAAGCACUCCGCCUGGGGAGUACGACCGCAAGGUUGAAACUCAAAGGAAUUGACGGGGACCCGCACAAGCGGUGGAGCAUGUGGUUUAAUUCGAAGCAACGCGAAGAACCUUACCAAAUCUUGACAUCCUUUGACCGCUCUAGAGAUAGAGUCUUCCCCUUCGGGGGACAAAGUGACAGGUGGUGCAUGGUUGUCGUCAGCUCGUGUCGUGAGAUGUUGGGUUAAGUCCCGCAACGAGCGCAACCCUUAAGCUUAGUUGCCAUCAUUAAGUUGGGCACUCUAGGUUGACUGCCGGUGACAAACCGGAGGAAGGUGGGGAUGACGUCAAAUCAUCAUGCCCCUUAUGAUUUGGGCUACACACGUGCUACAAUGGAUAAUACAAAGGGCAGCGAAUCCGCGAGGCCAAGCAAAUCCCAUAAAAUUAUUCUCAGUUCGGAUUGUAGUCUGCAACUCGACUACAUGAAGCUGGAAUCGCUAGUAAUCGUAGAUCAGCAUGCUACGGUGAAUACGUUCCCGGGUCUUGUACACACCGCCCGUCACACCACGAGAGUUUGUAACACCCGAAGCCGGUGGAGUAACCUUUUAGGAGCUAGCCGUCGAAGGUGGGACAAAUGAUUGG
Molecule: ribosomal RNA, 1464 nt
Filed under: Staphylococcus sp. MIS10
Lineage: Bacteria; Bacillati; Bacillota; Bacilli; Caryophanales; Staphylococcaceae
Description: bacterial SSU rRNA
Rfam family: Bacterial small subunit ribosomal RNA
Source: RNAcentral